CCGCCGAGAAUGCCUUUAAUUACUUCAGCAACUCAGAAGCAAUGUAGAGCUUGCUGGCUUGAAGAUCCUAGGCAAGAGACAAGGCCUAGCAGCACACCAGCGCCUCCAACUUUGGCAGAUCAGUAAUUGCCUCAAGCACCCGUGCCGAGGACCCCAUACAGAGGCCAUCACUAUCUCAGUUUGGUAAUGAAGCCAUGAAUCGUCACAGGUAUAGGCGUCCAUCGAGCCGACCUUUUCAAAAAAGCCCGAAAGCCCCAUCGGGCUUGGCCCGUUUGUGCCGAGACCGGCCGGGCGGCCCGAUUAGCAAUUUUAUUUUUCUUUUUUUAGAUAUAAUACACUCCAUCUCAACCCUUAAAUAAAUAUUGGUAGGCCCAAUACUGUCAACCUCCUGAUCACUAGACCACGUUAGUUGUUGUGCCAAGUUACACCGCACAGGAUUUUUGACCCAAUUUCAGGCUGCCACGUGAUAAAAAAGGCCGCAUGCCUGCUUGGGCCGAUCGUCUGAAGGGCGCUUUUUUCCAGGCCCGUCGGCUUCCGUGUCGGGCCGGCCAGAUUGGGCUUUGGUGCCGCGCUUGGGCCACGAGCGGCCAUUUGGGGCCGGGACGCCCGAUGGCCACGUAUAGUCACAGGGUUCUGAUAAGUUUCGUCGUGGAUCACCUUCUGGCAUGCAGACCAUAUCUCGCCUAGAGCGUCAGCAGGAUCUCAACAAACUUAGCAUGUGUCACAGUUUCCAUGAGAUGAAAAACCCAUUCUUUGGCAUUAGGGCUCAGAGAAGCGCCCACAUGCUCGCCCAACUGCUCAUCCGCGAGAGCCCAAACACAUCUUGACAUGGAACACUCUAUCAAUGAAUGGCGCCAGCCAGACCGAAAAAUGGCGCAAACUAAUGAAUCAGCCAUCGCCAGUCUCUCCUCCCGAUCUUUAUUUUGUUUAUGUAAAAGAAUCCACUU
This 947-nucleotide long non-coding RNA is filed under the name Brachypodium distachyon (stiff brome). Its description in RNAcentral is "long non-coding RNA (BDIS_LNC000801)". The record is from RNAcentral. Lineage: Eukaryota; Viridiplantae; Streptophyta; Magnoliopsida; Poales; Poaceae.